UACGUAGGGUGCAAGCGUUGUCCGGAAUCACUGGGCGUAAAGGGCGCGUAGGUGGCGCGGGCAGUCAACGGUGAAAGUUCGGGGCUCAACCCUGAAUCGGCCGUCGAUACUCCCGGGCUUGAGCACUGUAGAGGCAGAUGGAAUUCCGGGUGUAGCGGUGGAAUGCGUAGAGAUCCGGAAGAACACCGGUGGCGAAGGCGGUCUGCUGGGCAGUAGCUGACACUGAGGCGCGACAGCGUGGGGAGCAAACAGG
This 253-nucleotide ribosomal RNA is filed under the name uncultured bacterium. RNAcentral's name for it is "partial 16S ribosomal RNA". It matches the Rfam family "Bacterial small subunit ribosomal RNA", at positions 524 to 776 of the family's 1533-position model. The record is from RNAcentral.